UAACCUGCGGAAGGAUCAUUACCGAGUU
RNAcentral lists this ribosomal RNA (28 nucleotides) under Lasiodiplodia theobromae. RNAcentral describes it as "partial 18S ribosomal RNA". The record is from RNAcentral. Lineage: Eukaryota; Fungi; Ascomycota; Dothideomycetes; Botryosphaeriales; Botryosphaeriaceae.